Molecule: long non-coding RNA, 1523 nt
Organism: Acinonyx jubatus (cheetah)
Lineage: Eukaryota; Metazoa; Chordata; Mammalia; Carnivora; Felidae
Exons: 3
Source: RefSeq, a predicted model, not a curated record
UCCAAAGAUCAGGGUCCUUGCCCUGGAGGUCCUUAUAGUUUCAUGGGGGAGCCAGACCAAUCUGUUCAAUCUAGGAAGAUUUAUGAAGUGCCUACAAUGUGCCAAAAAAAGUUCUAGAUGUUUGGGUUACAGCAGUACACAAAAUAGACAAAUAUCCCCGUGUCCCCAAAAUCUUAUUCCCUCAGAAGCACUAAAGUGUGAACAUAUUAAUAAUUUAUGGGUCAUCUGAUCCAGACACAUGUCCAGUCUCUGUCAAUAGUAUUUGGGGUUGGAAUAUACCAUAACUCCUUGUUAUGUACUAUGAUAUUUUUAUUCCACCCUCCCCCAAAAGUAAAGUAAAGUAAAGUAAAGUAAAGUAAAGUAAAGUAAAGAAGUAAACUAAAGUAAAAGUAGAGGCAUUAGGAUUGAAGAGAGGUAAUAGGAUGUGGUCCCAAAAAUGGCACCCCUAGUGUGCCAUAGCAACACAGCCUUGUAAUUGUGAGGUAGAUCCAUGAUGUCACUGUGUCCUAGAGGAUUCAUAAGGGUGGAUGACCAGGGUGACUAUCACCCUUCAUCCCCAGCUCAGCUAACUACCAUCCUCACCACCAAGCUAUUUUGAAGUUCUCUUCGUUCAUUUAAAUUCUAUUUUGAGUGGAUUUAGUAUAACUGGAGCUGUAGAUGGAGCAGUAGAUGGCUAAUUAUUCUCCAUGACCAAGAAAUGAUCCUUCUGAGUACUCUACCUAACAUCCCAUAAAUCCUGAGGUUUUCCAGCCUGGCUGUUGGCAACAGUCUUUUUUCUUAUUAAUUUCAAGCAAACUGAGAACCUUGAGCUUCAAUUUCCUAUCCAGCCCUGAGAUUCAAAGGUAGCUUUGAGCUGAGACUAUUCGUCCAUGGAUCCUCCACGUAAAGUUACCCCACCUUUUAAUUCUGAUUCAUUGCUGAUUCCACCAAAAGAAAUGUCCCAGAAACUUACAUCAACUUCCCAAUCAUCUUUCUCCAAAGUGCAAAACCUGGAUCAUAUUAACGUUAGCCCCAGUUUUAAUAGCAACUACCUCACCCCUCUACCAGAGGAAACGAUCCAACAGCAGCAAUACAGAGAUGAGAUGAGCCAACAUGAGAGGCAGUGGGAGAAGUCAGCGUUCCCUCAGAGGAAAAAGACAUUCAUGGAGAACAUGAGACAGAAAAGUUACUAUCACAUGGCACCUUAUCGGGUUGAAAGGGAAGGAAAGAUCUAUUUCUCACAUGACAGAGAUCAGAAUAAGUGUAAAUGCCAUUAUUGCCUCAUUCAAAGGGAAGCUAUUUCCGGGAACUGUAAAGGGCAAAAUGCAUCCUCUUGGAAAAUGCUAGUAGAAGGCUUUAGCCACUUGAACAUCAACUCUGAUACCACAGAGUCCCGCUGUCCAUCAGAAAAGCUUCCACAGGAGUAGAAAAGAAAGAAGAGCCAUCAAGAGAGGGAGAAGAAAAUCAAACAGUUCUUCAGAGGCCCUGAAAACAAUAAUUGAAAUAAACCGAAACUCAUCCUCAUGUGAUGAGAUCAGAAUUAA